This 253-nucleotide ribosomal RNA is filed under the name uncultured bacterium. Its description in RNAcentral is "partial 16S ribosomal RNA". It matches the Rfam family "Bacterial small subunit ribosomal RNA", at positions 524 to 776 of the family's 1533-position model. The record is from RNAcentral.
UACGAAGGGGGCUAGCGUUGUUCGGAAUUACUGGGCGUAAAGCGCACGUAGGCGGAUACUUAAGUCAGGGGUGAAAUCCCGGGGCUCAACCCCGGAACUGCCUUUGAUACUGGGUAUCUCGAGUCCGGAAGAGGUGAGUGGAAUUCCGAGUGUAGAGGUGAAAUUCGUAGAUAUUCGGAGGAACACCAGUGGCGAAGGCGGCUCACUGAUCCGGUACUGACGCUGAGGUGCGAAAGCGUGGGGAGCAAACAGG